CACGUAGGAGGCGAGCGUUGUCCGGAAUCAUUGGGCGUAAAGAGCGCGCAGGCGGCUUGGCAAGUCGGGUGUGAAAUCCCGGGGCUCAACCCCGGGACUGCAUUCGAUACUGUCAGGCUAGAGGUAGGUAGGGGAGAUCGGAAUUCCUGGUGUAGCGGUGAAAUGCGCAGAUAUCAGGAGGAACACCGGUGGCGAAGGCGGGUCUCUGGGCAACAACUGACGCUGAGGAGCGAAAGCGUGGGGAGCGAACAGG
RNAcentral lists this ribosomal RNA (253 nucleotides) under uncultured bacterium. RNAcentral's name for it is "partial 16S ribosomal RNA". It matches the Rfam family "Bacterial small subunit ribosomal RNA", at positions 524 to 776 of the family's 1533-position model. The record is from RNAcentral.